Long non-coding RNA from Eucalyptus grandis, 798 nucleotides. RefSeq lists it as uncharacterized. The transcript is spliced from 2 exons. The record is from RefSeq and is a predicted model, not a curated record. Lineage: Eukaryota; Viridiplantae; Streptophyta; Magnoliopsida; Myrtales; Myrtaceae.
ACCUGGCGAUGAUGUGUGCAUCUGGUUGAAAAAGGGUUUUCUCCUAGUUCCUACCCGGUCCUGUGUCCGAGGUGGAAACGAGAAACAUGCCAAUCGAAAGGAAAAGCUCCAGCGAUUGGCGGGGCGGCUCGUUACGACGAACCGUCUUCUCGCUCGAGAUCUUUCGUGCCAUCCCGACGGCACGGCAGCGAAAGCUCCAGCGGAAGAGAAAGUCAAGACGGCAACGCUCCACCACGCGUCGUGGGAGGAGAGGAGAUGGGCGACGCGUGCGUUUUUACUGUUGCCCUCCUCCCGACUCGUUUUCAAUGUGUUCCUCGACCGCGCAGUCGAUGACGGUGUCGGUUCGAACUAUAAUCGAUGGUGUUCUCGGUUGUAAAAAAACACUUGGUAAUCGUGCGCGAUGGCACGCCUUUCACGAUUUCGAGGUGGCCAAACCGCCUGUCGUCUAGGCAUCCUAUGUUCGGAGAAACAGGUUUUGCACCGAAAACGUGGUCGUUUGCCAUAUGAGGCGACCGCGACUUGCUUAGACACAGCAGAUUUCCGUAACCCUGCUUAAUUAUCUUAACCGCUUACGAAGCUACCACUUCGCGCAUAAGAUCUACUCGGAUUGGAUCGACCGGAUCGUAAAGGAUUGACAGCCCCAUCGGCUUAAGGCGCAUGCUCGAAAGGGCAGUGUCCCUCUUUCUUCUUUGGACUUAGUGAAUCGUGCUCCUGUCUCUUGUCACGGACGACAUGGGCCAGAGCUUGAAUUUGCAAUGUACUUCCUUUCGAUAAAGAUAAAGUUUUCUUUAACCUCUA